Molecule: long non-coding RNA, 338 nt
Filed under: Hordeum vulgare
Lineage: Eukaryota; Viridiplantae; Streptophyta; Magnoliopsida; Poales; Poaceae
Description: long non-coding RNA (HVUL_LNC017505)
Source: RNAcentral
CGGUUUAAGGGUUCUAAUAGAGAUGCUCUUAUCACCAUUCUCCAGGUCAGGUUUCGUCUUAAAUUUAGAACAAAAGACAUGUCAUGCAGUGAGGUAGGGAGAAACCAUUUCUACACACGGGACCUAUUUGAUGACAUGGAUAGGCUACAUGGCAAGAUAAUUGAGGUACUGGGGAUGAACUUCUUAUAUGUAUAAGUCGUCUUAAAUUUAGAGUACAAGACAUGCCAUGCAGUGUGGUAGGGAGGAACCAUUUUUACACACGGGGCCUACUCGAUGACGUGCAGAUGCUACAUGACGAGAUAAUUGAGGUAGUGGGGGUGAACUUCUUAUAUAUAUAU